RNAcentral lists this ribosomal RNA (328 nucleotides) under uncultured bacterium. RNAcentral's name for it is "bacterial SSU rRNA". It matches the Rfam family "Bacterial small subunit ribosomal RNA", at positions 10 to 364 of the family's 1533-position model. The record is from RNAcentral.
AGUUUGAUCCUGGCUCAGGGUGAACGCUGGCGGUAUGCUAACACAUGCAAGUCGGACGGACACCUUCGGGUGUCAGUGGCGGACGGGUGAGUAACGCGUAGGAAUCUACCCCUAGGAGGGGGAUAACAGCUGGAAACGGCUGCUAAUACCCCAUACAGGCGCGAGCUGAAAGGAGCAAUCCGCCUAGGGAUGAGCCUGCGUCGGAUUAGCUAGUUGGUGGGGUAAUGGCCUACCAAGGCGACGAUCCGUAGCGGGUCUUAGAGGAUGGGCCGCACACUGGGACUGAGACACGGGCCAGACUGCUACGGGAGGCAGCAGUGGCGAAUUU